RNAcentral lists this ribosomal RNA (244 nucleotides) under uncultured bacterium. Its description in RNAcentral is "partial 16S ribosomal RNA". It matches the Rfam family "Bacterial small subunit ribosomal RNA", at positions 524 to 767 of the family's 1533-position model. The record is from RNAcentral.
UACGAAGGGGGCUAGCGUUGCUCGGAAUCACUGGGCGUAAAGCGCACGUAGGCGGAUUGUUAAGUCAGGGGUGAAAUCCUGGAGCUCAACUCCAGAACUGCCUUUGAUACUGGCGAUCUUGAGUCCGGGAGAGGUGAGUGGAACUGCGAGUGUAGAGGUGAAAUUCGUAGAUAUUCGCAAGAACACCAGUGGCGAAGGCGGCUCACUGGCCCGAUACUGACGCUGAGGCACGAAAGCGUGGGGA